This 19086-nucleotide long non-coding RNA is filed under the name Lactuca sativa (garden lettuce). RNAcentral describes it as "long non-coding RNA (LSAT_LNC002271)". Lineage: Eukaryota; Viridiplantae; Streptophyta; Magnoliopsida; Asterales; Asteraceae. The record is from RNAcentral.
ACAUACAUAACCAGAACUCCUAGUUUCUCACUCACAAAAUCAAAAUGAUUUCUCUAAAUCGUAUUUGGAUGGCCACCGGUGUAGUUAUUGUGAAUGGACAUAAAUCCCUCCUCCUCAACUCCUUCCGCCAUGGCAAGAAGGCUUUCACCUCCGAUCUCCGUCCACUUUCCGGCCUUCUAAUAUUAGAUGUCAGUGUCGGAGACAAGAAGAGAACACAGUCCAAUGAGUCUCUCCGGCAAGUCAUGUACUUUAACUGCUGGGGCCAAAGCUGAAGAUUGGUUUAAUUGUGUUGUGUGUUUGGGAGGCUUCAAUUCUCGACGGAUGAGCAAUCGAUGAUGCGAGUUAAGUUAAGUCAUGGUUUGGGGAUUUGGGAGUGAGUCGUAAAAUGGAUUAUUUCCUUUUCCUGAGGAAGAAGGUUUUAAUUUGUAAAUAUCACUGGCUCAUAUAGUAUUAACCAAUACAAUGCAUAUAUAACAAUCUAAAGUAAAUGUUACUUUUCUUUUGGAACUUGAUAUUGUUUGUCUUGAGCUGAGCUUGUUGAUUUUUAUGAUCCGGGCAAAUUCAAUCAAAUUCUAAAAUUUCACAUUGUAAUUAAUGAUUAGAAAAAAGGAGAUUAAGAAAACCAUGAAGUUAUUAAUUUCUUCUAAAAACGAAAAAUAAUAUCCCAAACUAUUAGUAAAUUUUCUCCAAAAGUUUUCUAUAUAUCCAUCAAUUUUGUAAGGUCAACAGUAAAAUGGAUCUGGGAUUUGCAAAAUUAAACUCUUGAAAAAAAACAUGUAAAGAAAAUCAUUCUAUUACUCAACGUAAAGCAAAAUUGUUCACGAUCCUAGGAAAAUUUCUUACAAAAAACAACUUUUUGUGAUAUUUUCACACCAAAAGAUAGUUUACAUUGCUAUAAUGGAAUUCGUAAAAAGGAAGUCAUAUGUUCAUAAAUAUUUAAAAAAGAUCUAAUAUAAAAAUGAGGGGAAAAUAUCUAAUGUAAAAAUAUCCUACACUAUUAAACUUUUCCAACAAUUUUCUAUAUAAUCAUCAAUUUCACAAGGUGGACAUGAUGUGUGCAUAUCAAAAUUAUCAAGAUGUCUCGUAAAAAAUAUAAAUUAAAGAAAAUCAUUAUGAAAAUUAAAGUUCAAUGUGAAAUUCACUCAACGUACGUAAUGCAAGAUUUUAAAUAAAAUGGAAAAAGAGACUUACAUUCGUAAAAAGGAAGUCUUAUGUUAAAUUUAAAAAAUAUAUAUAUGUCUUAUAAAAAUGAGUGGAAAAAAUAUCUUAUGUGUUUGAAAAAUAUCUAAUAUAAAAUAUCCUAAACUACUAAAUUUUUUCCAAAAGAUGUCUAUAUAACCAUCAAUUCUAUAGGAUUAGGAUUAACAGUAACGGGUAAGGAGUAAUGAGGAGAGUGUUUGAAGCAAAUGAUCAACAAAAACAUAAUUUUAUAAAAUAACAACGACUUCCAUAGAGACGAGCUCUAUGGAAGUCCUUAUGCUCUGAGGAACAAGAAAACUUUCUGAGGACAUGAGUGACGGGGAAAAAGACCAAAAAAAUUAUAAAAUUUUAAUUCCGCAGUGGGUGCAUCGUUCCACAGAAAUGCCCUCUGCAGAUCUGUUCUUUAGAGUAGUACCUUUGAGGAAUUGUUCUUCGCUAAAACAUGACGUAUUUCUUCACUAAAUUCUAAGUCUAUUUCUUAAAACAUAGUUUUAUAGUUUAAUUUGUUAUUUUGAAUUAAUGAUAUGUGCUAAAUAUUGAUCUUAUUAGAUUUAUAAGAAAACAAAUACCAAAAUCGUUAUUAGGCUAUGUUUUAGCGAAGAACAAUUCCUCAGAGAAACUCCUCUAAAACAGAUCCAUAGAUGACAUCUCAGUGGAAUGAUGCGCCCUUUGUGAAAUUAAAAUUUUAUAAUUUUUUUUGUCUUUUUCCCCCGUCAUGUCAUUUCCUCAGAGAAUUUUCUAGUUCAUCAGAGCCCCUCUCUGCGGAAGUCAUCAUUUUAUAAAAUGGUGUUUUUCAUGGUCAUUUGGUUCAAACACUCUUCUCUAUUUGGUUAUUUGAUGAAUUUUCUCUAUAAACAUUACAAAAUUAAAACAAUGUCUAAAAAAAUAUAAAAUAAUGUCAUUGUGAAAGUUAAUGUUCAAAUUUAAAUUCAAUAAGUGUAAGGGAGUUAGGAGUGAUUCCUCCCAACUCAUUCAAACCAUUCCAAACUAUUAAACAUUUUCCAAAAAAAAUUCUAUAUAACUAUAAAUUUCGCAAGAUCAAGAGUAAAACUGAUAAGUGCAUUGCAAAACUAAACAAUGUUUCGAAAAAAAUUAUAAAGAAAAUCAUUAUGAAAUUUUUUUGUUCGGUGUAAAAUUCACUCAACGUAAUGCGUUAUUGUUAAUAAUUCUACAAAAAUUUCUUAUAAAAUUUAACUUUUGUGAUAUUUCCACUCCAAGAACAAAGAGUUUACAUUGCUAAACUUGAAUAAGAGAGUUUCACAUUCCUAAAAAGGAAGUCUUGUUGAAAAUGAAAUUUAAAAGAAUAUAAUAGUUUUUAUGGUAUUUUUACUCCAAAAAAAAUCUAAUGUAAAAAAUGAAUAAAAAAAUUGUCUUAUAUAUAGAAGCUAAACAAAAUGGUUAAAAUAUUAUUAUUAUUAUUAUUAUUAUUAUUAUUAUUAUUAUUAUUAUUAUUAUUAUUGUUAUUGUUAUUAUUAUUAUUAUUAUUAUUAUUAUUAUUAUUAUUAUUAUAAAGUUUUAUAUAAAUAUAGAGUGAAUUUUAUAUGGUUUAAAUGGUCCCUAUUGUUUUUUUUUUCGCACUUGAGAGGAACCAAGUUUUACUUUACCGGCUAAAUUGGUUCAGUUACCUGUUUUAACAGGUAAACCAUACACGUAAUAAGAAUAGUCGGCAAGUGAGUUGAGUCUGAGUUAACUCAUGUACAUGUCAUUAAGUUGUGACCGGUUCCUUGCUUGGGACCUAAGGGUCACUGUGGACCCAUCAGUCCAUAAAAGCAGUGGCUUAUUCGAUGAAACCCUAAAUCUUCAAUACCCUUUUCCACUAAAGGUUACCGAUAAUCCGACAUAACCUCGAUACUUCGCAUUCACGUGAGUCACGAUGGCGACCCCACCACCACUUUCGCCGGAGUCAAUAUCUAUAAAUUCACGAGACCGUCUCAACUUCGGCGAUUUGCAUACGAUUUAUUGUGAUUGUGGAGCAGAAAUUGCAGAGCAGAAAAUGGAAGUCGCCCGUUCAAAGAAGAAAUGGGUCAAGAUUUGGUGUUAAGCAGGGUUCAGUCACUCGCAUUACAUCGUCGGAUUGAGCGCACGGAGAAAAAGGUGACUUUGUUGACUGUAUUGGUGAUUAGACUUGUGAUUGUGACUUUUGGUUUUAUGGUGGAGAAGUUUCUUCGUAUCGUGAACCCCUGAUUUGUUGGUGUUUAUGUUGGUGGUUUGUAGUGUUUGUGUUGAUUAGGUAUGUAUGUGUCUUCUUUUAGUAGUAUAAUGUUGUGUAUUAGGGUUUAUGUGUUUGUUUUGGCGAAGGUGAUUGAAGACCUGUCUAAGCACAAACAAUUUUGUAUAAAGUAAACUUUGUAACCGGGUUUAUUUAAUGGAAAAAUAGUAGUUAAUGAGUUAUAGUUAAUUAGUGUGAAAGAGGGUAAUUUCGUCCUUUCACAAUUUACCCUUACAUAUACUCAUGUUUCAGACACAUAUGUGGGCUUAAUAAGCUUUCUUUUGCUCUCAUAUUCUUCUUACCGUUCAAGUGACCUAACUGAAAUGAAGGGUUCGAUGAAAUCAGUUCAAUGCUCGUGUGGAUGUGAAGCAAUAUUACGAACGUCAACUACUAAAUACAACCCUGGCCGACUCUUUUAUGCUUGCCCUAAAAAGGUAAAUGUAAAUUGCAUGUUAACUGUUGACCUAGAUUUUGAUAAUUUGUUUCUGGGUUUGGUAACUUAAUCUAUAACAAAUAAUAACUUCCAUUGUAGGGGCCUCGUGAUGGCUUCAUAUGUUGGGCAGAUGAAGUGGAGAGUACUAACACGACUGCUGAUACAACUUUGGUUACAAAUUUGGUUCUGGCAAAUAAGAAGCUUCAAUCUGAUGUUAGAAAGAUGAAGUUAUGGUUAUUUCUAAGUUGGGCUGUUUUUUUGUGGUAUUAGUCUACAAGUUGUAAUGGGUAUGUAAAGGGUUUGUAAUCCCAUUCGUAUUAAAUAUGGUUUCCUUUCCUAUUAAGAUGAAGUUAUGGUUAUUUCUAAUAUGGUUUCCUUUCAUGUUUACCAAUGUAUUUGUAAUGGUUAUGUAAUGGAUUUGUAAUCCCUUUCCUAUAAGUGCCUUGCUAUUGUGUGUCAUCGUUUUGUUUGUGUUACUAUUGUACAUAAAAAAACAUUCAACAAACACAUUCCAUAAUAAUACUAUGGGUACCCUAAUACUAUUACGAAACAAAGUUAAAUAACACAUCAAACAACCAACCUAGUCUUAACACAAUACCAAAUAACAGUUAUGUCUAUUCAAUAUUCAUUGGAUUAUCACCAGAAUUUACUUCUCCAUUUUUCCCUUCAACCCUUUUUGCCAAUUUUUUCUUUAUAAUCCUUUCUGAUUGCUUCCGUUUACGUGCAACUGUUGUUUUUGAACCACUUCCUUCCUCUUCAUUACCACCUUGAGAUUGCUUCUGUUUACGUCCAACAGUUGUUUUUGAACCACUUCCUUCCUCUUCAUUACCACCUUUAGUAGUUGAUCUCUUUCUCUUCACCUUGAGUUUUUUGGGCUUCUCAACUUUCGGACAUGUAGCCUUGUUGUGACCAACUUGUUUACACACACUACAUAGAAUUUUCUUCCCAACCUUUGACACGGUGUGUCUAGUACUCUUUUCUCCUGGGUCCUUCCUUCUAUUAACUUUAGGUCUGCCUAGCAUUUUCCUUUUCAAAGGUGGCAAUGGUGGUAUGAAAUUGGUACUUGGCCACAUAUUGCUGCCAUUCAUCCCUCUCAGUGGGUACUUGUAAGCAUUUCUAUAAAAAGCUCCAAAGAACAUGGGAUCCACAUAACUUCCGACAUCUCUGUUUAGGUAACUAAUAGUUGCAACUGAGUGCACACACCCAUACCCAUUUAGUUGCCAAACUCUACAAGAACAUGUCUUCUUGUCUAAGUCAACGACAUAAGACUCUGCUAAGUUUCUUGUCUCAAAUUGGUUCAACCCACUUGGUAAAACCUGCCAAUAUCUAAUAACAUUGUCUAAAAGUUAGUGUAAGUUUAGUAUUAUCUAUGAUGUUAACAAACACAAACUAAGUUUACCUUUGAGCUUUUUUCAAUUGAUUCAACAAGGAUCUAAUUGAUGGACAUGGUUCCAAAUCUGGCCAUGAACUGCCUUUCAUGCUCAAAUGAAACUGCAUUUCCAUAACAUACAAUCUAAUCUCUUCAAGCAUUGUGAUGAUUGGUUUCUUCCUUGCAUCUCUUAUAACAUUGUUAAAGCUCUCCGACAACCCAUUCUCUACAGCAUCACACAUCUUGCCCUCCUCAAAAAAAGCUCUACACCAUGAUCGUGGGUUCUUUUCUGUUAGAUACUCAAAGGCUGAAGGAUUGAGAAGUUGUAUUUCCUUCAUUGUUGCAUUGUGUAAAGGCUCAGUAGAUGCCUUGCAUGCCUUCCAAAACAUUUUCUCAUACAUUACUCCGGGGAAUCUUUUCCUAAAGUUGGCAACAACAUGCCUUGCACACUGUCUGUGUUCAACAGUAGGCAAAAUCUCCUUCACAGCUUCCAAUAGUCCCUUCACAUUAACAAUUUAAAUUGUAAAAUAGUAUAGGCAACUUUCAUUAAUAAAUAAAAUACAACUAAGAAACAUACCUUAUGUUGAUCUGACAUCAAUACAAUUCCAAAACCAUUGUACAUUCCUAAGUCAUCUUUUAAAUUUUCCAAAAACCAUUUCCAAUUCUCUUUGAUUUCAACACACACAACUGCCCAUGCAAUUGGAAAUAUAUGAUUAUUAGCAUCCCUUCCAACAGCAGUUAUUAACUCUCCGGUACAUAUCCCCUUAAGGAAACAGCCAUCCAGGUUAAUUACUCUUCUACAACUACCCCUCCACCCUUGCUUUAGUCCCUUAAAACAAACAUAAAACUUACUAAAAUAAUUUUUCCCAUCAGGCAUAGUAGUGACAUCAAUCUUCACAGUUGAUCCUGGUUUGAUCUUCUUAUCUCCUCACCAUAUGACCAAAGCUUUGAAUAGUGCUCAACCAAUGUGCCUUCAAUUAGCUCGAUAGCAUGCUUUUUUGCUCUCCUGAAUUGACCCAUACUUACAUCUAUACCAAAAGCCUGUUUCACCUCUUCCUUAAGCAUCCUAACACUCAUUUUCUGUUUUUGUAAGAACUCAGUUGUAAAAUGGCUACCAAUCCAAGCAUAGCUAACAAUUGAUCCAAGUUUAAAGUUUCUAGCACAAUUAUGCUCAUCUAUAAGGGACUUAAUCUGGAAAGAGUUUUCUUCACUCAUCCAUGAAGCCCAUAGCCUAAACUUACACUGCCCAGAACAACAUUUAACUAAUAGUCUUCUACUGUCAUUUUUUUUGUAGCACAACUGAUGCCCAUUAGCAACAACAUAAUUACAUAACAUAAGCUUUAACUGUUUUGGACUAUGAAAUCGCAUUCCUAACACAGGUUUUUGUUUUUUCCAAUGCACAUUUUCAUUGUAUGUAGUAACCUCUUCAAAAUUUACCUCAUUUUCUUCCAUUUGAAGAUAUGGAUCCUCAUGAGGUGGACUAUUUGGAGUUGACUGGACUUUUGGGCAUAGCUUUCUCAAAAACUCAUCGUUAAUGGUCUUAUUCAUUGGAUUGCCAUCUACGUGUUCAAGGUCAUCGUGUACAUUACCUUGCAGUUCAUCCGGGCCAUUUUGCACAAAUCCAUCAUAAUGAUUGUCUUCCACAACGCUCUCUUCAACUUCCUCAUCAAUAAUCCACCGUUGGACAUUCACACCUAGAUGAUCCAUGUAUACAUCCACGACACAACCAGCAGCAUACCCAGCUUCGAUGAAGUCCUGGUAGUCUAUUUCAGUAGCCAAGAUCCUCAAUCCAUCAGGAAACUCUUUUCCAGGCAUGCAAUAAAAAACAUUUACACACAUUUCAAUUGCAAAUCUUUGUACGAAGUUAACAAACUCGUUCCUGUCCAUUCCAGCAAAAUCAACAUCUUCGAACCUUUGUUCUGCUCCAUCCGUAUAACUAAUUUCGGGGUACCUUGUAAAAAACCCAGCAAAGUGACGAUCGAUCUUCAUAUAAACCACCAUAAGAUUUUACAGACAAAAAAUACGACAAAAAGGGGAAGAAGAAAGUGAGGGUUGUUAUAUAAUAUGUCUUGUAGGGCAAGCUCAGUAAACGAGUAGGUUACAUGGCAGCUUAGGUGGAUUAAUUUCGAUGACGUGUGUACCUUAUAUGAUGACUAGGAUAAUGUUAACCGGCUCAACUCUUCCACUUUGAACAAAAUGGCUUUAAAAACUAUUUUCUAAGUCUUGGUUCCACUCAAGUGCGAAAAAAAAACAAUAAGGACCAUUUAAACCAUAACUAGAAAGAUGGUUGGGUGAGAGUGAGAUUUACCAAAAAUAAUAUCAUUCUGAAAGUUAAUGUUCAAAAUUAAAUUCAAUAAGUGUAAGGGAGUUAGGAGUGGUUCCUCCCAACUCAUUCAAACCAUUCCAAACUAUUAAACAUUUUCCAAAAAAAUUUCUAUAUGACUAUAAAUUUCGCAAGAUCAAGAGUAAAACCGAUAAGUGCAUUGCAAAAUUAAAACAAUGUUUCGAAAAAAAUUAUAAAGAAAAUCAUUAUGAAAUUUUUUGUUCGGUGUAAAAUUCACUCAACGUAAUGCGUUAUUGUUAAUAAUUCUACAAAAAUUUCUUAUAAAAUUUAACUUUUGUGAUAUUUCCACUCCAAGAACAAAGAGUUUACAUUGCUAAACUUGAAUCAGAGAGUUUCACAUUCCUAAAAAGGAAGUCUUGUUGAAAAUGAAUUUUAAAAGAAUAUAAUAGUUUUUUAUGGUAUUUUUACUCCAAAAAAGAUCUAAUGUAAAAAGUGAAUAAAAAAAUUGUCUUAUAUAUAGAAGCUAAACAAAAUGGUUAAAAUAUUAUUAUUAUUAUUAUUAUUAUUAUUAUUAUAAAGUUUUAUAUAAAUAUAGAGUGUAAACAAGCAACAAGCUAUGUCACAACCCUUUUUGAAUGACAAACCUAAUUUUUUGAAAAACAUCUAUAGAUCUUGAGUCAUAACAUUAAAUCAAAAUCAUAUUAAAUAAAAACCUACAAACUAAAUCAAAACCUAAAAUUAAAGAGUAAAUUACACGAACAGUACCUAUGAUUUAGGGUAAUUUGCGUAUUUGGUCCAUAACUUAUUUUUUUAACUUGAAAAGUCCUUAUUGUUUGUUUUUUAUUAUGCGCUUGGUCCAUGUCUUACAUAAAAAGACUAUUUUGCGCUUGAUUUUUUAAUUUAUUUAAAUAAACACACCUCAACCCCACUCCCCUCACCUUACUUUACAUAUCCCACAAUUUUUUUCUAUUUAAAUAAUAGUCUUUUUAGAUAAGAUAAAGACCAAACGCAUAACAAAAACAAACAGUAGGGACCAAGUGCGUAACAAAAACAAAGAAUAGAGACCUUCCAAGUUAAAAAAAAAAUAAUAAUAAGUUGAAGAUCAAACAUGCAAAUUACCCCAAACCAUAAAGACCAUUCGUGUAAUUUAUUCAAAAUUAAAAUAUACUCAUCUCAUAUAAAGUUGCCAAAACUAACUCAUGAAAUAUUUAAUGUCCAUAUGUCCAUAUAUGCAUAUAAUAGGUCUCCACUAAACUUGAAAUGCUAAGGAUAAUCAAAGUAUGAGGUAAUCAAUUUCGUAUCUUUUUUCUUUGAAAACAGGCAAAUGAAAUAUGUAAAAGUAAAAGGACAGCCCGUGUAGCAAGAAACUAGAACGGAGGCCAAUAAAAGUAUAAAAUAAUCAUAUUAUAGAAGAUAUUUUGGUGGCGUUAUGAUUGGGCUAUAAUUGUAUUGAGCCCAACAAGGCUUCCAAUUGGGUCAGUUCACUCAAUUCAAUACCCUGCCAAUAAUCUAGACUGUCAAUUAGGUCAAUGUUUCUUGAGCGUAUGGUAUUGAUGUUGAAUCUAGGGCAUGAAGUUGAAAUGUUGAAUAUGAAUUUGAUACAUGUUUAAAUUAGAGGUUGGCUAAAAAGAUUUUUUCAAAGGAAAAGUUGAGUUCUUUUAUUAAGAUCGAGUCAUUAGUGUUUUUUUUUUUUUUUUUUUUUUUUUUUUUAAUUUUUAAAUUUAAUUGGUCUUAAAACUUUACUAACAUGAUUUUAAAAUAGGCUCAAUAGUUCUCAUUUGAAUAGAUUCCUAACAGGUGGUUGCGCGACGAUCAUGCCUUAGUUUGCAAAAAAGAUAACCCAUGUCACAUUCCUUAAGGUCGAUGUAGAUGAACUCUGAGUAAUAAUAGACAAAGUUAUGGGUGUUAAGAAAGACAAACUCGAUGCUUGUGUUGUUAAGCAUUAAGAAGUUGCUAAUAUAUCUGCUUAAUAUAGUCUAGAUAUGAUUAAAUCUUGGAUAUUGUCUAUGUAGCAAUAUUUACCGAUUUGAUAUAAUAUUUGGAUAACUGGAAGAUGUUGUUUGAAUAUUAAUUGUACUUGUUGUGACACUCAUUUAUUAUAUGAGUUUAUUUAAAAAAAUAAACAAACAUUAAGAUAUACCAAUUUAGAAAAUUUAAAUUUAUAAGAAAAAAAGUAAAAUAUUAAUUAUUAAAACUGAAAUGUUUAUUUAUCUUUUAAAUUUAAACUAAUUAAUUAAAUAAAUAAACAACUAAAAUAAUUGGAUUCAAUUUAAAAUUUUAGAAGUUAUAAAAAAAACUGCAUUAAUGAAUUGAAUAUACAUUUAUUAUUCAAUUUAUUACAUUUAAGUAUUAUCUGAAAUUUAAUAGAAAAUAAAAAACUACAAAAUAACAUAUGGAUAUAUUUUAAUUUUAAUUUAUUACAAAAUGACAUGUGACAUAAUAUAUAAGAAGAUGACAAAUAGUAAUAUUAUUUUUAUUUAUUAAAGAGGAUUUGUCUUCUGUUUUUAUAUCAAUUAAUGAUUAGUUUUUAUGUUUUUUUAACAUGUGGAAAUUUUAUUAAGCCAAUGCCAAAGAGAAAUGAGCAGUAAAAGGAUACAAAUUAAAACAGAACAAGGAAACAAAACACAAAAUGAAAAAACAAUCAUAAGUUUUAUAAUGCAGACUUUAAAAACAUAAAAAUAUAUCUUCUUAUUAUUUACACCACCUAAGUUUUCUUUUUUUGAUAUUAAUAUCCCUCCUUUUAAUCUUCUUUUUCUUCUUUGUUCAUUCUUUCAUUUACCUAUAUACUGCAGUAUUUUUUUAGGUUAUAAAUACCUUUAAUAAUAAAACAAAAAAACAAUCAUAAACUAUAUCGCAAUCAUCUUCAAUAAUAAAACAAAACCAUAACCAAAUCUUUUUCUUAUGACAUUUAUAUUCCUUUUUUGCUAAUUAAUCUUCUUUGUCUUGUUUUGUCAUUUUUUACACUAGCUCUAUUUAUAAACACCUUCAAUAAUAAUAAUAAUAUAUUAUAAUAAAGAUAAUAAUAGAAGAUAUUGCAAGAGCAUUUUCAAUUAUAAAACAAAAGCAGAACAUAUCAUAGACAAUACUAUAUGAUCUAACAAACUAAAUGAUAAUUCAUCAAACGUGCUUACAAGUAUAUAUUUUAGUUGUCAAAAGAACAUCUCCAACAAGUUAUCCCCUAUGUACAAGUUUUUAACUUCACUAUGGAUUUCUCUUAUAAAAGCCAAAAAUUAACCGAAGUUAGAUACAGUAUUAGACAAUCAAAUCAUAAAAAAUCUGAUAACACCGAUGGCUUUUUUUUUUUUUUUUUUUUUUUUAAUGAAGCUACCUAGUGAUUCCCAUUUGUUAAAUCAUAAAGUUUGUUUCAGAAUUAAUAUAUUUAUUUUGAUAAAAUAAGAGAAGAUAAACAAGUAAAUAAAAGAAUGAGAACAAAAGAAAUGGAGAGAGAUCAGUUACGGUUGAAGCUUGGAGCGCCAAAAGAAUUUGUGUUGGCUGAAAAUUUCAGUAAGAAAAUAUGUUAAUUCUAUAUUGAAAGGAAUUAAUUACGUUAAUAUUAUAAAAUAUAAUCUAUAAAAUAGCAUGUAAUUUGGUAAAGAAUAUGGGAUCUUCAAUCAAUAUAUAACAAACAAAAAUAAGGGUAUAUUGUUAAUAUAUUAUUUUUUAGUAGAUGGAUAAAAAAUGGUUGUGGAAAAAUCAGCUUCCUCUAUUUUUACCUUCUAUUUUUGAUCCCAUGAAACGUACGGGAUUGUUUCACUCUCAUGCCUGUGUGAUUUGGCAUCUCUAUUUAAACUUUUUUUUUUUGGUUUUUUGAUUCUUUAUCAAUCACUUUCGCAACGUACUUCGAAUUCAAACAAAACUCACUGCUUACAAUUAACUAUGAAAGAGGUAAUAUUUGGGAAUUAAUCUUUGUUUUCUCAUUCAUGUUGAUCUAGAUUCUAGACAUCUAUAAAGAAUAGAGAAACACACAAUGCCAUAAAUCACUCUUACAAAAUAUUCUAGUUUCUUAAGCGUAAAUACUUACUUAAGACAACUAGAUGUGUGCCCGCGCAAUGAAUAAUUUUUUUGACGAAUAGUUUUCUUACGGUAAAUUAACUAUUAGAUUUUGUUAUUAGUUAUUAUAUAAUAAGAAAAAUUACCAUUUUUAAUUAAAAUAUUUAUUUUUACAACUUAUAUUUAUAUUGUAUGUUUAUACAUUUGAUGUAAGUUAAUUAUUAUAUGUAUCUAGUUUAAAAAAUGUAAAUUAACUUAUAUUGAUGAAUUUAAUAUUUUAAAAUUGUUAUUUUGCUUCAUAUUAAUUUUUUUUAAUAACCUUCAUUAAUUCAAGUCUUCAAAAGUUUGGUAAGUAUUAAUGGUUUUGUUAUGCAUAAUUGAUUUAUAUAAAAAACUUUGUAUCUUGUAUCUUUUAAAAUUCAAGAUAUAACUAAUAUGCUUUAUAUAUAGUAUAAGAUAUAAGAUAAGAUAUAAGAUAUGUAGGAAAACAUAAACUCACAAUUUCCCAACAUCAACAUUUCAUUUAUAUAUGAAACAGUUGGUUUUCAUCAUACAUAUUACACAUAAAUCCUCACUACAAUAACUCUCAGUUCUCUGAUGAACAGCAAGAACACGAUCAAAAGAAUACAAAUUGAAACUCUAAUACAAACCCUAAAACUAGAGUGAACAAUCUUUGUGUGAGAGAGUAAAUCAAUCGUCUGAACUACGCAAAUGAAGAGAAAUCAACUUUAUAUACACCGGGGCAAACCCGGAUCCGGGUUAAACAACCCGCGAAGUAAAACUCUUUUGCAAUAUCAGAAAAUACCACAACACCCUUCCACAAUUGAAUAAAUAAUACAUAAAGACCAUUUUUCAUAUAAAUGACAAGUUUGUAUUAUAUAACAUUUUAACAAGAUAUAUAAAAAAAAAUACAUAAUAUAUCAAUAAAUAUAAAGAUGUUGGUGCAAAAGCUAUAGUGGAUAAAGAUAUUCUUUUUGGUGGUUAUAGUCAAUACUGUGACCGAGAAAAGGAUUUGUGGAUAAAAUUAUUUUUAUAUGUAGUAAUGUAGUAUUCAUUUUAUCCAUCCGACUAACCUAUCGUUUUCGCCCAACUAUUUAACAUAUAUGAUUCUCCCUCCUUUUUCAAUAUCUUUUAUUUUAGUUACAAAAAUAAAUGUUUUUUUUCUUGACUUUGUUACAACAUAUUUUAUUGCGCACAGAAUUUUCCAUUGAGAAAAAUAUCAAGUUCAAGAUAAAAGACAUUAAUUGGAUUUAGUUGGUUUCAAUGACGAAUCUAGAACCAAAAUCAACGUGGUUCCUUAUAUAAAUAAAUUGAAAAAAAUAUGAAAAUGUAGAUCUUUUGGCAAAAAUAAGGUAGUUCUUUAUGUUUUUUUUUAUAUAGAAUUGUUGUAUUAAAAAAGAAACAAAGUAGGUCCUUGGACCCACCUUCAUAUAAUAUAGCUACGCCCUUGGUUGGCUUACAACAUAUAUUAUUUUGUUGUAGGUUGGUUCGAUGUUCAAACUAUAUAUCAGUGUUUCCAACUAGUGGAUUUAACAAUGGUGAACCAUUAGCCAUGCAUACAAUUUAAAUCAUCAACAGUUCAAGACGGCAAACUAUAAACGUUCCUAAUCACACUCUAGUGUCUCUAUGUACUAGUUUCAUUAAAUGGUAAGCAAUGGUAUGUGACAAAUGUUGGAGUUUGGGAGGAGAAUAAAGUUUCUUAAAUCGAUGAACAAUAUCUAUUUGAAGGAUCGUAUGAAGACUUUUCAAAUAUGAUAUUUCAAUUCUAUAUUUGGUUUAUACGGAAUCCAAAUUAUAAAGAUAAUUUUUUAAGGAACAAUCUCAAAUCAAGGCAUUGAUAUGAGACCACAAACUAUGUUUUAUAAAAUUUAGAUUCUUAUGUUUACAGUUUAUCAAAUAUUAGCAUCAAUUAUUCUUGAAAUAAAGGAUGACGAUUUUAAAAAUAAUUAUGAAGAAUAUAUCCCGAAAGUAAUAUUUUCUAUAAUAUCUUCUUUACAAAAAAUAUAUUUUGAAAAUAAUAUUUUCAUAAUAUUUCCUUAUAUAAAAGAUGACGGUUUCUAGGAUAAUUAUAUAAAAGAUCGUUUCUGAAAUCAAUGAACAACGGGAUCCCCGCUAAGGCCUGCAAACCCCUUAACCCUGUCAUUUGGUCAAACUAAAAUUAAACUCGUUUCACACAAACACAAACUCCGCACCACAUAUCUUGUAAUAUAAUCAAGAAUUAAUAAUCUGUAAAUUCAAUUAGAUUAAAAUGACAUCAUGAUAUUAAAAUCACUUCCAACAUAUUCAAUAUACUAAAAGUCUAGACGUGGUUCAAAUAUGCAUAUUUUACAGUUCACUAUCGUGAAACCAUCAAUCCAUCAUGAUUAAAUUUGGGAGGGUUGCUUAAACAAUGGAUCACGAUGUUGAUGAAUUGAAUAUGUUUACUUAAAUCAUUCUUAAUGUUUUUUGUUUAAGAACUACGUCAUUAUUAGGUGUUAAAGCAAAUUAGAGCUUUGUGAUCAAGGUUCAAAAAGGUUUUUGUAAAGACUAUAUUAAUAUAUUUGUAUGUUUGGGGAAUCAAUGAUUAAAUCAUAUGUACAUGGAGAUUUUGAAGAUGUUUGGUUUACGAAUGGGUUUACACUUAACAUCCCAACCCCCUUCAUUACCAACAUAUACUCUAUUUGGUUUAUGAUAUGUAUUUAAAAAGUAGCAACUUUAUCGACUUAUCAUAAUAUCCCACCUAAUUUUGAUAUCUUAACGAGUAAACAAUGAGAAAGGAGCUAAAAAGCUCCAUCACCUACGUCCAUGUCAACCCACGUGUCUUGAAAAGAACAGGUGUUGAUACCCAUUACAAAAUUCCAAAACUAAUACAUUUAUUAUGUGGGCUCCAUCUAUGGGACUCUAGAUGUCUACUCAUUGGUUGCCAUCACUCAGUCAUUACUCACAUCGUUCCAAGAUAUGAUGGCCAGAUGAAUGCACCCCUCAUGAAGUCAUGGGCUCCCUCAAAACCACCUUACUUUUACCCCAAAACCACCUUCCUGUUUCCGGUUUCUUGUUUUCGUAAAAGACAAACUCUCACUCUAUAAAUAUCCCAUCCAUCAUCACAUUAAUUCCAAUUCACUCGCAACACAACAACCAUCAACUGUUCAAGUACCAAAUUUCCUUGGUUUUUUUUUCACAAAAUGACUUAUGUAAACCGUGUAUGGAUGGCUGCCGGCGUAGCUGUUGUAAAUGGACAUACAGAUCAAAGCUACAAACUUAAAUCCCUUCUCAUCAACUCCUUCCGCCAUGGCAAGAAGGCUUUCACCUCCGAUCUCCGUCCACUUUCCGGCCUUCUAAUAUCAGACGUCAGUGUCGGAGACAAGAAGACAACACAGUCCGAUGAGUCUCUCCGGCAAGUCAUGUACUUUAACUGCUGGGGCCAAAGCUGAAGAUUGGUUUGUGUUGAGUGUUUGGGAGGCUUUCUCGACGGAUGAGGAAUCGAUGAUGCGAGUUAACUCCUGGUGGGGAUGUGGGAGUGAGGGUGUGAUUUCAUGAAAGAAGAGGGCUACAAUUUGUAAAUAUAUAUGGAAUUGAAACUAACACAAUGUAUCAAGUAAAUGGCAGUUUUUUUUAUGGAAUAUAUAAUGUAGCUUCCUUUCUUUCGGUAAAUUAUAUUUUUUGUCAUGUGCUUGUUGAUUUUUAUGAUCGAGCAAACUUAGUUAGAAUCUUAAAGAUACUAUAAAUAUAAAUAAAAGAAGAUUAUAACCAAAAAAUAAUAUAAAUAAAUGUGAUUCGACAUGCCGAAUUAGACCCUCGUAUAUAUAAAUACGAUUGAUCAUUAUAUGCCUUUUAGGACAAAUGUUGGAAUUAAGAAAAAAUUGCCCCUUUCUUAAACCAUAAAACAUUUUUGUGUUGCUUACUUUCUUUUUGCAUCAACGAAUAUAGGAAUAACGUGUGUGACAUAUUCGAAUGUUUCUCUCUUCCAUCUCGAUUGUGUUCUUCCAUACAUUCACCAUAUUUCCAAAAGGACCAAAACUUAUCAUUAAAUUCAACGAUUGAUCACUCUAUUAGUAACUAGUUUAUAACCCGUGGGAACCAUGGUUACAAAAUUAAUUAAAAUUUUAUAGUAAAAAAUCAAAAUUAUUAAUUAAUUAUUCUAAAUAAAUUAUUAAUUAAGAGUUUUUUUAGUUAUAUAAAUUUUAAUCAUUGAUUUAAAUAAAUAUGUGAAAUUAUAUCAUUUGUAUUAUUUUUAUUUUAAUUUUUAUUCUAAUGUUAUUAAUUUAAUGUAAUUAAAGUGAAAAAUUUAAAAUUUGAAAUUUGAAAUGGAGUUGACAAGUGGCAUACAUUAAUUAGGAGACAUAAUAAGGUGACACAUGACAAAAGAAAAUAAAAUAUGCAUUAAUUAAUAGGCCUAAUAGGAUGACACAUAUCAAAAGGAGAAUAAAACUAUUCUUUUAUUAGAAUAGGGAUUCACUACCAAGUUACAUACUGACAUAAUUCCUCUUACAGGUGAAUGAUCGUUUACUUCACCCUCAAUCGUGUUGGAAGAUAUAAGCUAGCCAAGGACAAUUUGGUAUUUAUCUAUUUAUAAACAGUAAUUACUAGUAUGUAUUAGUUAUUAGUUGUGAAACUUACGUAUUACAUGAGUUAAUUUAAAAAAAAAAAGUUAAAUAAAAUGUCAAAAUAUUUGAUAACUUUGAAUUUAUAAGAAAAUAAGAAAAAUAAUGAAUUAUUAUAAUGCAAAUGUUUUUUGUCUUUUAAAUUUAAACAAAUAAUUUAAAUAAAAAAAAGAAACUAAUGAAUUUUAAUUUUUGGAAUUUUGAAUUUAAAAUGUAAGUUUAUUAAUAAAAUUGAUAUUCAUUUAUUAUUAUAUUUAUUGCAAUUAUUACAUUAAAAUAUAAUUUGGAAUUUAAUAAAAUAGAGAAACUCAUAAAAUGACAUGUGGAAAAAAUUAAUUUAAAAUAACCAUAAAAUGACAUUUGGCAAAUUAAAUGAGAGUACGACAAAUAGCAAAAAAAAAAACUUACAUUUAUUAGAGAAUAUUCCCUAUAUAUAGCAGUUACUAGGUUUGUAUCGUUGUCAUUGCAAAGGUGCCUUGAAAGGGUACUUUCUCAAAAUAUUGCAACGGUUAUCAUGUUCAUAUUCUAAUAAAUGAAUAGUUUUAAUCUUCUUUUGCCAAGUGUCAUGUUAAUACAACUUCUCAUUAAUAUUAUGUCAUGUCUCAUGUAGAUAUAUUAGGUAACUCAUUUUAAAAUUCAAAUUUAUAUUUUCUAAUUACAUGUUAAAUUUGAUGUUAUAAUAACUUUAAAAUUUAAUAUAUCUCUUAACUAAUAAUUUAUUUAAAAUGACUUAUUUAAAAUAACUGAUUAAUAAUUAUAAUUAUUUAUUAUAAAAGUUUAAUUAAUCUUAUAACUGUGAUUCUCACGGGUUAUAAACUAAUAUGUAUAUAUAUAUGUUAUCCUUGUAUCAGAAAACGGUUGAUUGAAGUUAAUAAAAAAGAUAGUUUGUAUACGUUUCUCUGUUGCAAAGAAAAUCCACUGCGGUUUUGAUCCAACAAAUCGUUGGUAUGUCGAUAUCCAACUAUCUUCUACAAUUUAUAUUUAUAAUAUAUCAAUGACAGGAUUUUUCAGCCAAAGAGGGGACAUGAGAACACUCAGAUAAUUGGAUGAGAUCAUAUAAUUAAGGUGUUUUAAGAAUCAAUUUACUAGAUAUAGUGUGGAUCAACUUUUACGACCAGUUACUCUAAAAUAACAAAAUGUAAAGGAUGUAUUUUUGAUAAACAAAAAAUAGUUUGGUGGUUAGGUUUGUUUAUUAUUUGGAUAAAUCCGUAUUAUUUAAUUACACAAUUAAUCGGGCUAUAUGAUUUGGUUAUUUGAAUUUAUGAAUUGAUUUAGAUUAAAACUAAACAAUUAUUUUGAAUUUCAUAUAGUGUUUUCAUAACUAAAAUAAGACCCCGAUACUAUAUUUGUUUUUUAAAUAUAUUAGAAGAACUACCAAAUAAAAAAUCUCAAUAUAUGUAUUCUUUUUUCUCUAGCGUUUUUGUAUGUAUCAUAAUAAAUUAUAUUGUUAUUUUUAGGGGUGUAAACGAGCCGAGUCGAUCGAGUCAAAUACUACCAAGCUCGAAGCUCGGCUCGACUAAAAUACUCGAGCUCGAAACUCGGCUUGAACUCGACUCGAGCCUUGAUUUUAAGCUCGAGCUCGGGCUCGUGAAAUACUCAAUAGUCUCGAGCUCGGCUCGGCUCGACUCGACUAGUAUUUAAAAAAAAUAAAACUCGCUAAAUUGAGUAAGAAAUAUUAAACAUUCCACAUGUAAUGUCUAAACUACCAAAAAAACCACUAUUAAUCACUGAAUAUCAAUAUAACAUCAACAAUAUAUAUCAUAAAUGAAUAAUUAUAAAGAAAUGAUAUAUAUUUUAUAAAUGAACAAUUAUAAAGAAAUGACAUAUAUUUAAAUUACACUAAGCUCGCGAGCCUUACGAGCUGAGUAUUUUUGUACUUGAGCUCAGCUCGAUAAGGUACUCGAGUAGCUCGAGCUCGAGCUCGGCUCGAUUAAGGUCGAGUCGAUUUCGAAUAUUUUCCAAGUCAGUCUUGAGUUUCUCGCGAGUUGGCUUGUCUCACUUACACCUUUAGUUAUUUCAAACUAAAUGAUUUAUUUUUAUUUGUUUAUUAGUAGAUUUUACGAAGAAGACGACAAGGAAUCAGUAUAUAUUUAAAUGUGAAUUUAAAUAAUUAUAUUUUUAAAAUUGACAACUCAAACUCAUUAAUAUUCUAAGUUAUCUAAAUUUAAAAGGAUCUGUUUAAAAAUCAAAUUAUGAAAACCGAUCAAUCUGAAUAUUAUCGAUUCGAUCAGAUAGUUUAAUUUUCACUAUUUAAAUUCGAAUGCGAAUCACUUUAGAUUCCGAUCGGAUCCGAUUCGUUCAAAUGAACUCUUUUAUUUUGAGAGAAAGAGCAAAAGCGCAGCAGACCUACGUCGAUGUCAACACACGUGUCUUAAUGUUAUCCGAAGUCCAUACUCUAAAGAGACAGAUGUUAUGCAAUUGGUGCGUAUUCCUGUACAUGGAAGUAUUCUACGUGCCCCCCAUACAUGAAACCCAAGGAACCCGUUGGCUACUUAUCUCAUGACUCACCACUUUUUCAUCAUUCCAAGAUGGCCAGAUGAAGGAACCUCAAUUAAAAAAUAAAUAAAUAAAUAAGCAACACAUGACUCCAACUUUAUAAAUAUAUCCCUUCCCUCUAUCAUUUCUUCAUCUCAUUACAAAAUCGCAACACUACGCCUCUACAACUCAUAAACCAGAAUUCCUAGUUUCUCACUCACAAAAUGGCUUCUGUAAACCGUAUUUGGAUGGCCGCCGGCGUAGCUGUUGUAAAUGGACAUACAGAUCAAGGCUACAAACUUAAAUCCCUCCUCAUCAACUCCUUCCGACAUGGCAAGAAGGCUUUCACCUCCGAUCUCCGUCCACUUUCCGGCCUUCUAAUAUCAGACGUCAGUGUCGGAGAUAAGAAGACAACACAGUCCGAUGAGUCUCUCCGGCAAGUCAUGUACUUGAACUGCUGGGGCCAAAGUUGAAGAUUAGUUUGUGAGUGAAACGUAAAAAUGGAAUUGGAAGCUUUCUCGACGGAUGAGGAAUCGAUGAUGCGAG